RNAcentral lists this transfer RNA (85 nucleotides) under Felis catus (domestic cat). It matches the Rfam family "tRNA". From Rfam's summary of the family: Transfer RNA (tRNA) molecules are approximately 80 nucleotides in length. Their secondary structure includes four short double-helical elements and three loops (D, anti-codon, and T loops). Lineage: Eukaryota; Metazoa; Chordata; Mammalia; Carnivora; Felidae. The record is from Rfam by way of RNAcentral. RNAcentral also lists the same sequence under 2 other names.
GCCUGAGUGGCUCAGUCAGUUGAGUGUCAGACUUCAGCUCAGGUCACGAUCCUGUGAUUUGUGGGUUCGAGCCCCACGUUGGGCU